AAAGUCGUAACAAGGUUUCCGUAGGUGAACCUGCGGAAGGAUCAUUAACGAGCGUUGCCUCCGGGCAUACCUCCCACCCUCUGUAUACCUUACUGUUGCUUUGGCAGGCCCGUCCUUGGACCGCCGGCUUCGGCUGGCCCGCGCCUGCCAGAGGACCCCCAACUCUGUUUUAACAUGUCGUCUGAGUAAAAAUUAAUUGUCAAAACUUUCAACAACGGAUCUCUUGGUUCUG
RNAcentral lists this unclassified non-coding RNA (232 nucleotides) under Ascomycota sp. RNAcentral describes it as "partial contains small subunit ribosomal RNA, internal transcribed spacer 1, and 5.8S ribosomal RNA". The stretch from base 1 to 47 matches the Rfam family "Eukaryotic small subunit ribosomal RNA", at positions 1785 to 1831 of the family's 1831-position model. Lineage: Eukaryota; Fungi; Ascomycota. The record is from RNAcentral.